AUUGAACGCUGGCGGCAGGCCUAACACAUGCAAGUCGAGCGGAUGAAGGGAGCUUGCUCCUGGAUUCAGCGGCGGACGGGUGAGUAAUGCCUAGGAAUCUGCCUGGUAGUGGGGGAUAACGUCCGGAAACGGGCGCUAAUACCGCAUACGUCCUGAGGGAGAAAGUGGGGGAUCUUCGGACCUCACGCUAUCAGAUGAGCCUAGGUCGGAUUAGCUAGUUGGUGGGGUAAAGGCCUACCAAGGCGACGAUCCGUAACUGGUCUGAGAGGAUGAUCAGUCACACUGGAAGUGAGACACGGUCCAGACUCCUACGGGAGGCAGCAGUGGGGAAUAUUGGACAAUGGGCGAAAGCCUGAUCCAGCAAUGCCGCGUGUGUGAAGAAGGUCUUCGGAUUGUAAAGCACUUUAAGUUGGGAGGAAGGGCAGUAAGUUAAUACCUUGCUGUUUUGACGUUACCAACAGAAUAAGCACCGGCUAACUUCGUG
This 484-nucleotide ribosomal RNA is filed under the name uncultured bacterium. Its description in RNAcentral is "partial 16S ribosomal RNA". It matches the Rfam family "Bacterial small subunit ribosomal RNA", at positions 30 to 507 of the family's 1533-position model. The record is from RNAcentral.